RNAcentral lists this long non-coding RNA (386 nucleotides) under Homo sapiens (human). RNAcentral describes it as "novel transcript". The record is from RNAcentral. Lineage: Eukaryota; Metazoa; Chordata; Mammalia; Primates; Hominidae.
UUGAGACAGAGUCUCGCUCUGUCACCCAAGAUGGAGUACAAUGGCAAGAUCUCAGCUUACUGCAACAGAGUGAGACUCCAUCUAAAAAAUAAAAAUAAAAAAUAAAUUAAAUUUCUAUUCAGGAGGACUGGUUAGAGCAUAAUUUUUAUCAAAUAAAUAAGGAAAUCAAGACAGGAGAAAGGAACCAUGGAAAGGAGAUAAAAGUACCUGCCCCCCAAAUCUUUUGUUUUAAUGACCUGAGCUAAACUGCUAUUUUUUUCAAUUAAUUAUUUAUUAAGAGGAGUUAAAGACUUAUUCUUAAAGUUAUCUUGAUUCCAAAAGCAUUUCACAAACUGGCAGAGAUAAUCUAAUACAAUUAGGACAGAACACAAGAAAAUAGGUGUCAC